Euleptes europaea (tarantolino) is the source of this 135-nucleotide small nucleolar RNA. RefSeq annotates it as small nucleolar RNA SNORA29. The record is from RefSeq and is a predicted model, not a curated record. Lineage: Eukaryota; Metazoa; Chordata; Lepidosauria; Squamata; Sphaerodactylidae. The transcript has a single exon.
CUUCCCAUUCCACUACCAUUUAUAUAUGCUGCAAAUUAAGUGGUUAUGCUUAUGGGAUAAAGAAAAGCUUGUCAGAGUCUGAAGGGGAAGACUGACAAUAUCUUCUUCCUAUAUGAACUGGCAGAACAGUUUUAC